This 357-nucleotide long non-coding RNA is filed under the name Fukomys damarensis (Damara mole-rat). Its description in RNAcentral is "lncRNA (ENSFDAG00000024268.1)". The record is from RNAcentral. Lineage: Eukaryota; Metazoa; Chordata; Mammalia; Rodentia; Bathyergidae.
CACCUGUGUGGCCUUUGACAAGGACAGUUUUUUGAACCCUGGUGACAUGGAUGUUGCCCGCAUUUCUCCUCACUUGGCCAUUCUCUAACCCCUUGUGGCUUGGUGGAAAGUGCGGCACGUCCCAAUGGUCCACAGCCCGCAGGCCUCAGCUCUUUCCUGGAGGCAGGCCCUCCGGUGGAUGUGGUCUCCUUUCCUCCUCUCCAGGGCCUGAGCUUUUCAGAGGUGUCAAGAAGUCGCUCGGUCUUGCCCAUUGUUGGAGGAUUCUAUCUUUCCAUGGUGAGAGCAAGACAGCAGCACGGCAUCAUGUUGCCUGCCAGUUUGAGGGGGGAAAAAAAUCUGAAGACAUCUAAAUGGGGA